This 252-nucleotide ribosomal RNA is filed under the name uncultured bacterium. RNAcentral's name for it is "partial 16S ribosomal RNA". It matches the Rfam family "Bacterial small subunit ribosomal RNA", at positions 100 to 354 of the family's 1533-position model. The record is from RNAcentral.
CGGGGUGAGUAACGCGUGGAUAACCUGCCUUACACUGGGGGAUAACACUUAGAAAUAGGUGCUAAUACCGCAUAAGCGCACAGAGCCGCAUGGCUCAGUGUGAAAAACUCCGGUGGUGUAAGAUGGAUCCGCGUCUGAUUAGCUGGUUGGCGGGGUAAAGGCCCACCAAGGCGACGAUCAGUAGCCGGCCUGAGAGGGUGAACGGCCACAUUGGGACUGAGACACGGCCCAAACUCCUACGGAAGGCAGCAG